GCGAGGCCGAAAGGCGUAGUCGAUGGGAAACGGGUUAAUAUUCCCGUACUUCUUACAAUUGCGAUGGGGGGACGGAGAAGGCUAGGUGGGCCUGGCGACGGUUGUCCAGGUUCAAGUGCGUAGGCUUGAGAGUUAGGUAAAUCCGGCUCUCUCUAAGGCUGAGACACGACGUCGAGCACCUACGGGUGUGAAGUCAUUGAUGCCAUGCUUCCAGGAAAAGCCUCUAAGCUUCAGAUUGUAAGGAAUCGUACCCCAAACCGACACAGGUGGUCGGGUAGAGAAUACCAAGGCGCUUGAGAGAACUCGGGUGAAGGAACUAGGCAAAAUGGUACCGUAACUUCGGGAGAAGGUACGCUCUCGACGGUGAAGUCCCUCGCGGAUGGAGCUAUUGAGAGUCGCAGAUACCAGGUGGCUGCAACUGUUUAUUAAAAACACAGCACUGUGCAAAAUCGUAAGAUGACGUAUACGGUGUGACGCCUGCCCGGUGCCGGAAGGUUAAUUGAUGGGGUUAGACUUC
Molecule: ribosomal RNA, 517 nt
Filed under: Vibrio parahaemolyticus
Lineage: Bacteria; Pseudomonadati; Pseudomonadota; Gammaproteobacteria; Vibrionales; Vibrionaceae
Description: partial 23S ribosomal RNA
Rfam family: Bacterial large subunit ribosomal RNA
Source: RNAcentral